Molecule: long non-coding RNA, 3349 nt
Organism: Cyprinus carpio carpio
Lineage: Eukaryota; Metazoa; Chordata; Actinopteri; Cypriniformes; Cyprinidae
Source: Ensembl
UUGUUCUUCAUGUCCCCAAGUACUAGUGUUGUGAUUUUCAUGUUAUUGUACUGUAUCAUUCUUUAAUAAUUGCAUGCCAAAAUCAUGAAAAAAUGCCAUCUUUCUCACUAUACACUCAUAUUUGAAAAGUCAUAAAAAAUUAAAAUCAAAUUGUUUUCUGCAAACUCCAACAGACUCUUGUUCUACAUGUUCCCAAGUACCACUGUGGUGAUUUUCAUAUUAUUUUACUGUAUCAUUCUUUAAUAAUUGCAUGCCAAAAUCAUGAAACAUGCGAUCUUUCUCACUAUACGCGCAUAUUUGAAAAUUCAUUAAGAAUUAAAAUCAAAUUGUUUUCUGCGAUUUCCACGAGACUCUUAUUCUACAUGUCCACUGUGGUCAUUUACAUAUAAAUUUACUGUAUCAUUUUUUAAUAAUUUCAUGCCGAAUCAUGCAACAUGCUAUCUUUUUCACUAUUCACUCAUAUUUGAAAAUUCAUUAAAAAUUAAAAUCGAAUUGUUUUCUGCAAACUCCUUCAGACUCUUGUUCUACAUCUUCCCCGGUAAGACUGUGGUGAUUGUCAUCUUACUUUACAGUAUAAUUGUUUAAUAAUUGCUUACCAAAUCAUGACCAAUGCUAUCUUCUUCCACACUGUAAAUACAUUUUAAAAAUCCAUAAAAAGGUCAAAUCUAAUUGUUUUCUGCAAACUCCACCAGAUUCUUUUUCUACGUCUCCCCAGGUACCAGUGUGGGGAUUGUCAUCUUACUUUACUGUAUAAUUUUUUUAAUAAUUGCUUACCAAAGUCCUGACCGAUGCUAUUGACCUCGCUAUGUCCACAUACAAACAAACCUGUAGACUUUUAUUUACUUUUGGCUGGCUUUGGGAUAACCAUGAGGUUUGGAUAUUGACUGUGUAUUUGACAUUAUGUUUGGCUUAAUGAAGGUUUUGGUAAUUCUCAUCCUGCCUUGUGUGUGCCGUUUCUCUGUCUUGACCCACAACAUGAACAUGUCAUAACUUACAGGUGAAUGUUUACAAAUAUGUAUAUGUUAAUUUGAAUAAACAUUUAUGUAGCCUAUUCAAAUUUAAUAUUUUAUCUGGUCUUCCAGAUAUAACUUUCAGUGUUGUGAUGUACAAUAAAAUGUCCAUAUAACUGCACUUUUCCAUUAUCACUAAUCUUAUGCUAUUGUCACUAUCCAGCAAGAUCAUCACGGUCACAAAGGUAUUACUGUUAGUAUAGUGGUUGUAGUACUAAUUUGUAUAUUGUGGCACAUUGUAUACAAAAAUGUACCCAUUAAGCACAGCCAGACUUUUUGCAUUUAAUGAUGUAUAUCUUAAUUGGAAUGCUUUUGUCAUUUAAAAUAAAAUUAAAUAAUUUUGUGUGAGAGAUAUUAUUUUAUUUUAACAACUUAUUGUACUGAAACCAAUAUCUUGUGCAGUGAACAUGUCUCAAUGUAGAUUUUGGUGAGCUUAAUAGGUAUACAAGUAUAGGGUACAUAAAACUAAUGUUAAAAUAAUGUGUUAUUAGCAAACCGGUGCAUUUUAUAUGCAUACAUUGCUUUGCAAACAUACUGAAUGUUAUACAGGUAAUUUAUUAGUGUUUUUUUUUUUUCCUAAAUGAUGAUUCAAACCAAAAGAGGCAUUGCAGUCUUUUUCAAGUUUGUUGUUAAUUAGCAUUUUGCUCUGCAUUGUUAUUCUUAUUACUAAUAGAUUUAAUGUACCUUGUACAGUACAAUAUGCUGUUUUAAAUGAAUUAAUAGUAACAAUGGCAUGGUUAAAAAGCAUUCAAAGAAACACUUUAUUGUUUUAAACUCUAAAGUCUAUUUAUAGGGAGGCAAGUUUAUAGUAAUUGACUUGUAACUGCCUUUUGAAGCAUCAUUUUGAAGUUUUACACAUGAAUUGUUCUGUGUUAAAACAAUAAUAUCCGUCUCUGUCUGCUGGUCUCUUUAAAUACAUUUUGAAGUAAUGUACUUCUAAUGCAUGUAUUGAAAAUAAAUAUUUACUUGAAAUUAUCAUUAACUUGUUCAUUAUUCUUGUUAUGUCAUGGUGGUGGUGAUGUUAUUUAUUAUUAGUAGUAGAGAUAAAUAAUUAUUGUUAUAUAUUAUAUAAUAAUAUUGGUGUUAUAAAUAAUGUUUUACUAGUAACAAUACUACUGUAAAUAUGAAAAAGAGCAUAUCUUAUCAAAGAAAUCUACUUACUGUCAUAUUAACUAAACUUGUCAAAAUGCAUAAAUCAUAAUCAUCAUUUGUUAAUUAUUAAAAGUACUAAUUACUUGUUGCAAUUUUAUAUAUAACAAAAGUUGAUUAACUAUAACACUUUUCGGAUUGUUUGUUGUUAUGCCAUGCUUUAAUAUGAAAUAUCUCAUGUUUUGUAUUUUUAAUGUCAUUAUUUGUUUCUUGCCCCUCUUGCAUAUGUAAAGUGGUUUCUAUGUAUUAAUUAGAUGAUGAUUAGUAAUAGCAGUCAUGUUCAGAAUUAUUGGGAGAGUUGCAUAAAGCACGUAUUCCUCCAAUAUUUUCCCUCAAAGUAUUUAUGAAGCCUGGUAAACCCUGACUAUAAAGGAGCUGAUUCCCUGCAACAUUUUCUGCUGCCUUUAUCACAUCUUCCAUGGCAUUUAUCACAGGCUCCCAGAGGAUGAAGCUCUGAGUUUGUUUCUCCAAUACAGUGACUCUUCCAUUAAGAACAGUCAGAAGGGUCACAGCUCUCCUGACCGUUUCCUGAAUAUCAGCUGUGAACUGUAGAUGCUGCUUCAACUCUUCAGUCUCCUUCUCCAAUUUAUUUAGCAACUUAACUGUCUCUUCAGUCUCAUUCUGUAUGGUAGCGAUCUUGGAUUGGUAAUCAGACACCUUCAUGCUCUUCUCAUUCACCUCGGACUCCUGUAUUUUUAGCUCAUUUUCAGCUUCCCUGAUAGCGUUUGAAGCCUUAACAAUUUCACUAGCUCCCACAGACAUCAUUAUUAUACCUAGUGGAAAGCAAGAAAUCUUAUCAGCCACAAAUAUUGGUUAGUUGUAAUUGUUAAGAUGAUGAUAAAAAGUAGUAGUGGAUCAGAGAGGAUUACUCACCAGGAAUCCAUCCGAUAAUUGGUAUUGCAGCCACUACCGCCCCUCCAAUUGUUACACCUGUGCCAGUGUUAUGUCUAGCUUGCUGUCUUUGUAGUUCAUCUUUUGUCAAUGCUAUCAUUUUUUCAGCCUGUUCCAAAGCUGCUUUAGAAUUCUUUAAUGAUUCUUCAGCAGAGUUCUUCUCGAUGUGUAAUUUAUCCAUUGCAUUGCGUUUUUCUUUGUUCUGCUGCUCAGCAUUUCCUUUUUCUUGAAUAAGUCGCUCCAUGCAUUCAUCUAAAUUUUUUAGUUUUUCCUUAAUCAUUGUCUCUGAUUUUUCCAGG